GAUGAACGCUGGCGGCGUGCCUAAUACAUGCAAGUCGAACGCUGGAGAUCUAGCUUGCUAGCUCGAAGGAGUGGCGAACGGGUGAGUAAUACAUAAGCAACCUACCCACGAAGACUGGGAUAAUCUCUGGAAACGGGGACUAAUACCGGAUAGGUAAUCGGAAGGCAUCUUCUGGUUAUUAAAGGUUAAAAACACUGGUGGAUGGGCUUAUGGCGCAUUAGUUAGUUGGUGAGGUAACGGCCCACCAAGACGAUGAUGCGUAGCCGGCCUGAGAGGGUGAACGGCGACAUUGGGACUGGGACACGGCCCAGACUCCUACGGGAGGCAGCAGUAGGGAAUUUUCGGCAAUGGGGGCAACCCUGACCGAGCAACGCCGCGUGAGUGAAGACGGCCUUCGGGUUGUAAAGCUCUGUUGUAAGGGAAGAACGGUAGAUAGAGAAUAUCUAAGUGACGGUACCUUACCAGAAAGCCACGGCUAACUACGUG
This 486-nucleotide ribosomal RNA is filed under the name uncultured bacterium. RNAcentral's name for it is "partial 16S ribosomal RNA". It matches the Rfam family "Bacterial small subunit ribosomal RNA", at positions 28 to 507 of the family's 1533-position model. The record is from RNAcentral.